UGAUGGCUAUUGUAUAUGAUUCGCUCAUG
RNAcentral lists this non-coding RNA (29 nucleotides) under Rattus norvegicus (Norway rat). Lineage: Eukaryota; Metazoa; Chordata; Mammalia; Rodentia; Muridae. The record is from RNAcentral.